Molecule: ribosomal RNA, 447 nt
Filed under: uncultured bacterium
Lineage: Bacteria
Description: bacterial SSU rRNA
Rfam family: Bacterial small subunit ribosomal RNA
Source: RNAcentral
ACUCCUACGGGAGGCAGCAGUGGGGAAUAUUGCACAAUGGGGGAAACCCUGAUGCAGCCAUGCCGCGUGUGUGAAGAAGGCCUUCGGGUUGUAAAGCACUUUCAGUAGGGAGGAAGGUAGUGUAGUUAACACCUGCAUUAUUUGACGUUACCUACAGAAGAAGCACCGGCUAACUCCGUGCCAGCAGCCGCGGUAAUACGGAGGGUGCGAGCGUUAAUCGGAAUUACUGGGCGUAAAGCGCAUGCAGGCGGCCUGUUAAGUCAGAUGUGAAAGCCCGGGGCUUAACCUCGGAAUUGCAUUUGAAACUGGCAGGCUAGAGUCUUGUAGAGGGGGGUAGAAUUUCAGGUGUAGCGGUGAAAUGCGUAGAGAUCUGAAGGAAUACCAGUGGCGAAGGCGGCCCCCUGGACAAAGACUGACGCUCAGAUGCGAAAGCGUGGGGAGCAAAAC